CGGUUACACGCGAACUAAUAACCGUGACGCAUGAGCUUUUCAUAUAUAUCUUGUUUAUUGAUGAGACGUCAAAAGAAUACCCCCGGUACGGUUUGUGGUGGUUUGGUGAUGUACUUCACAUUUCAGCUGCCAAACCGAGCCAAGAGGUGGUGUUGUCUCCGGUUUGAGGCUUUGAAGACGCUUUGCCUGGAUCGUUUAAUUGAUAUGGUGCCUUUGACGUAACCCUGUCCUUUCUCUUAGCCAAGAACCGAUGGAGUGAAGCUCUUCUAGCAAUAGGAAGUUCUGUAAAAGAAAGGGGGUUUUUCUUUGUUAAUAUAUAUUCGGUUUAAAGUCACAUGGAAAUAUAAACAAAAAUAAGGUGAGAAAGAUUACCGCAUGCCAUUGCAGUUGAGGAGGAUUGAACUGGAUCUUGUGUUGUGAUUUUCAUGAGAUGAGGAAGUUGGUUUGGGAUAGGAGCGAUGUUACUUCUCAUCUCUGUUUGGUUAUUGGCUAGGUUAGUAGUGUAACCGGGCUGGAUGUUGUUGUUGACAUUAGAUGUGAAACCGGUGAAGGUAUUAGCGGUUCCUUUGCUCGCCAAGUCCAUCACUUCUUUGGCUUUCUCAGCAGAAAAGUCAUUGAACACAAUCACUUGCCCGCCGUAGAAUAUAGUCAACGGUGCAGUUUGAGGCUCUGGUCUCACAGGUCUAUUUCCAGAAACACAAUAAUUAGUCAAAGAGAUAACAAAUAAAGAUUAGCUUUGCAACAUCAGAUUUAUAUGUUUUAACAGAACAUACCUAGUAGUAGUAGUAGUAGCCUGUGUCAUUUUUAGGAUAUCUUCCUUGGGGAGAGAGGAGGAUGAGGAAGAAAAACUUGGUUGCCUAGGAAACAGAUUUUUUGGUUUAACAUCUUGGCCAAUGGAUUCCAUGUUGGAAGCUUCACAAGGGAAUAAGCUCAUGGUUGUUGUGGGCUGACGAGAGAUGAUGCCUGCAAGAUAUGAUCCAAAAAGGUAAGAUUUCUCUCUCCAAUAACUUUUAAUGACAAAUUUAGCAAUGUUUAAGUAUUCGACCAAACAUGGCAAAUAAAAUCGAUGGAAAUUGCCGAAAACAGAAAGCUAACCACUCUCAAACGAAACCAUACACGCAAGCUUAGCACAUACACUUGCAAGGCAAAGAAAAAACGUGUCUACUACGUAAACUAUAGAUUAAAACUCAAAAUUAAGAAUUUUUUUUUAACUCUAUAUUAGAUGCUAAAUCAUUUUCUCUGCCUAAUUCCGGUCAAAAGGAUCAGAGUGAACGAUAGAAAGGAUCUGGACGAAAGAAAAGGGGUUGCUUACCGUUGACCUCGGGCUUGCAUGACAUCCCUAAGCUGAGAUCUCCAAAGCUACCGUUCUCCUUCAGAUACUGACUCAAACGACUGCACGUCUGAGAGAAGCUCGGCUUCCUUGAAAAUCUCCGUGUAGCGGCGAAAUCAGAGGACUCCAUAGGACUCGACAUCGUUAUACAAACAAAAACCUUAGUAGAAACGAACCGAAACGAGUUUCUCCAAUAGCUCACGAUAUCUAAUCUUCUUCUUCUUCAAUUACUCUUCUAUUCUUCUUUCUCUUUUGUAAAUUGAGUUUGGUUGCUGAGUCUCCUCCUACCUCCCAAUAACAAGAGCAUAUAUAUAUUAAUAAAACUUUUAACUUUAUCUAAUUUUGAGCCCUUUUAAAACACGUGUUUUAUGUAUUGUCUCUUUUAAUAAAGAUUCGGAAUGUGUCUCGGUUCACUGUUCUCCACGUUCAACGCUUUCCGUUUUCUUUGAAUUUACAAUUGUAUCCCUCUUCACGAGGCUUGAGAUAUCUUAUUGGUUGUUAGCUGGCAGGACGAAGUCAAACAAACACCGAAUACUGUAAAUUUACUGUUGUGCCCAUGUAGUUAUUAGCGUUGUAACUUGCAAGUGAAAAAGAGAAUGUUGUAUUUGUUUUUUCUUUUUUUUUUGUAACACUUUGGUUUUUCUUUUUCAGAAACCGUUUUUGGUACACUUAGAUCACAUAAUUCGUGCAAAAUCAAGUCUAAGUGUAGGGUUUGUAAUAUCGUUUGAAGAUGGUCUACUAUGUUUUUUGUUUGUUUGUUAAGUUCAUUCAAGAUAAACAAGCUAGUUUCUAUCAUAACUCGUUCCGGCCAAAAAAAAAAUUGUAUGUAGUGGUAGAUUUAAUAGAUUAGAACGUAAAAAAUAGUGUUUCAAACCAUAAUUGAAAUCCGUCUUCAUACCAAUUAUCUCUUAUUAUUUUUUGAGAAAUAUCUCUCAUUUUUUAUACUGAGAAUAAUCUAAAAAAAACUAUUUCAAACCAUAUUUGAAGUCGGUCUUCGUACCAAUCAUCUCCCAUUUUUGUUUGAAAAAAUUAUAGUUUGAAACACUUGAUGAAAUCUCUUUCUAAUAAGAUGGACUUCGAAUAUUUUUUAUUAAAUUUAGAAAAAAAAACAUUAAGAAAAUAAAUGUGAAAUAAACACAUUAAGAUAUAAACAAGGCAAAACGCGUUAAAUGUCACCAGUCAAGCCUUUUGGCAUUUAGUAAAUGAUCUUCAUAAUAAACUGUACAAUCUUAUAAAUUGAUUACUCUCGAAACAUUUUCUAAAUAAUGUUGUUAACGCGUGAUUCAUGCAGAGAUACAAACAUUACAAACUAAUGUUUGUCAAUUAAGCAAACAAAAAAUACUAACAAAUAAAGUUUACGAGUCGUCGAUUGGUAAUUAGAUGCGUCAGAAAUUCAAGUUUGAAGUUAAUCCACAUGUCGACCGUCACAUUUGAUUAACGCCAUGAAUCAUAUAAUAAUUGUAUCGAAUAGUCAAAAGUUUAACACCUAGCAAGCGCAAGCGAGAUUGAUGUUCCCGUGCAUAAAAUCAAUAUUACAGGAUUGAUUUGAGACCCAAUCAGAUGGUCAUGCUUAUACUAAUUUAUGGCAAAUACGAGUAAUCCAUCCAUAUGCAAGGGUACUAUCGUAUAUAGCUGAAACACGUAAACGAACCAAAACCUUCACGGCGUUAACAAACUGUGAGUGGGUCCCAGGUGAAGCCAACUCCACCAUGGCACCAUCCACAUGUUCCGUCGACCACGUUUUUGUUAUUAUGCGUUUUGGAAAUAAUAAAAUAGUAAUAAAGCUAAAGAUGGAUAUUUAAAGAAAAAAGAAAAGCAAAUAAAUUAGAAUAUUACAAAACAAGGAGGAAUCUAGAAAGAAGGGGGUGGCAAGUGCACGUUGUCUGAACUAUUUCGACGUGACGCGUGUGCAACACUUGUUGGUUGUAAAGUACGCGUUAGAUUCUUAUUCAGUUAUUCUCCGCAAGUACAAAGGGUGUUGUAGGAGCUGUGUUACGCUGCAACGCGACCUAACAAAAGUCCAAAAGCCUUGUCACUAAUCAACCCUUAAUCUGAUCUGUUGAUUGCAUCUAGCCAUGUUAAUAUUAUUAUACUUUUUUCAGACAGGAAUAUAGGUGCGGUUUUCUUGUGUGCCAAUUAUCUUUUCUUUAUCAUAAUAUAAAUUUAUUGCGUAAUCAAUUUAAUACACAGCAAAGUAAUCAUGGAUUAAAUUUAGAAAAAUAUUCUAGGAUAGCACUAAAAAAAUUUUGGUCAUAAAUAUAGACUCUGAGAAUCAAAAUGACCAAAAUGUUUCAUUAAAGAUGUAAAUAUACAUUUAUACCUAUAAGGUUAACUAAUCCAAACCUUAGGGUUUAAAGUUAAGAGGUAGAGAUUUGGGAUUGAAAUUUAAAAUUUUAUAAAAUAAAAAAUAAAUAUUAAAAAUUUGAAAAUAAAAAUUUUAAAAAUAGUUUCAAAAAGUAUUUUCGAAUUACAAAAACAAAUUCAAAAAAAAAUUUAUAAAAAAAUUCGAAUUUGAAUACAUAUAAUCUAAAACUAUAACUUUUUUAAAAAAGAAUUUUUUUAAUUUUUUAAUUUUUAAUUUUUUAUAUAUCUAGAGUAUUAGGGUCAUUUUACCUAUUAAAUGAAUUGUUUUUUGUGAUCUAUUUUUGUGACCAAAAUUUGAAAAUUGUCUAUUUAAAAGAAUUACCUUUAAAUUUACGUAACUAAUUAAUAGUAUAGUAUAAUAAUAUAUAGUACAUAAAUCAAAACUAAGAAAAGUCUUCUUUUACAUAAUUGAUGGAAACUUUAUUAUAUGCCUCCAACCUCGCAUGAGUUAACUUAUUAACCAAAAACUCCGGGUAAGGGUCUCAUACUAGCAUGACAUACUAAUUUUUAAAUUACUGUCAUAGUUGCAAGACGAUUAGAUACAAAACUCAAUAUUUUUUUCAUUGAUCAUACAAACUUUAGUUGAUUGGUUAGAACUUAUACGAUUUGAAAUGUGGGCUAUGGGCCAACAAAAUUAGAUAAGAUUAGAUUAAACGUAAAAGAUAGUCAAACUCGUGGGAAAUGCGUGUAAGUGGUUGGGAAGGAAUACAGAUCGCGAGGCAACGUGUCGAUUUAUAUUUGUUUUUUACAUCUAUUCAUGCACCAUUUGAGUUUACCUUUAAUUCACGACUAUUGUUUAUUUUUAUUCUAUCAUAGUAUAGUGUUAUAGUACUUGUCGAUGAUAAACAAAAAGUUUGAAAAUUUAGUGUCUAAUAAUAUGUUGAUGCAAGCCUAUCUUUUCGUUUUAGGGUUUUGUUUAUUUAAUGGUAAGACCGUAAGAGAACACUUACAAAACUUACAUAGUUGACUUUUGCUAACCGUAGAUUCAUAAGCAGCCACGUUGUAUUUUGUAAUCGUAGAUUCUACGUAGCCACGUUGUAUACCUUUUAUCUGUUUUAAAAUACUGGCGUGCGGAACUAAGAAUACAUCUUUUGAAAACAGUAGUAUUGAAAAACAAUACGCACAUGAAAUUCGUAGAAACUAUCAAACAAUUGCACUGCAGUUUCAUUUGUUACAUGUAUAAAGUAACGCAUGCUGCAUGCGCAUGUUAGACUCUCAUUGCAAAAUAACAUUAAUAUAUAAAGAAAAAGAAAUAUCAAUACUAUAUAAUAGAGCAAACAAAAAUACAGUUGAUGAGACGCCCGCCACAUGGGUGGUUGCCUUUAAUGGAGUCGUCGGUGUUUUGCAGAAUAUAAUAAACCAAUACAUAAAUGUUAAAGUGAAACUGUGCUAAUUAACUUUGGUAGUGGGAACAUGCUUUUCAUGACAUUAAACAAACUAAGAUUGUUUCGUAGAUUAGUCGUCGGUGUUUGUACUCUUGUUCUUCAUGGAUGAAUAUGCCUACAACUGCUUGUCGACAGAGUAGACUCUGGACUGGAUUUGCAAAACCUGAUCCUAAGUGAACGUAUCUCCAAGCUCAUCAGAGUCAAAGAUACUUUUUGUAACGGCCCGAUUCCCCGACGUCCGACCGGGGUUACCGAAAGGGUAUUAUUAGACAAUCCUACGUGUUCUGUUACUGUUUCAAAGAGUUGACGGACGCAUAAACUUCUGCGAAAUACUGUCACACCCGUAUCCAUAUACUCAUACUUACAGUCAUGCGCACAUGAAAAUGAAAAGGGAGGAUAUGAGUAAAUUCUCUAAUACUUUCCCCAGAAAUCAAAAUUAUAUGAUUUUCGAGUUUUUUUCUAAACUAGAGGAAAAAUGACUUUUCAACCAUCUUUGUUUGUUUGUUUGUUUAAGGCUGUUGGUUUGAGGUUAAAGAGUAGUGCUCCGGAACGAAGAUUAAAAUUAAAACUAGCAAGUAGCAUUGUCCUCAACAAAGUUUUGUUGUUCUUAGAUCAUCUCCAAUGGUUAGCUUAAUUUUCAGUUUUAAAAAUAUAUUUUAUUUAAAAUGAAGCAAAAAAUGAAGCACAUUUCUUCCAAUGAUUUGUUUCAUUUCUUUCUUGUAAAAGAAAUAUUCCAAGUAUAUUUUAUGUCUAUUUUAUCAUUAAUUAUUAAUAACAUCUUAUACUUUUUCCAUAUUUAGUAAUUUUAUCCAAAUAUUUUGUUUUAACAAUAAUCUAACAUAAUUAUUAUUUAAUAUAAAUCAAACAUUAUCGUAUUAAAAUAUUACUACAUAACAUAAAUAAACAAACACAGAACACUAUUUUGUAAAAAAGAUGUCUUUUAUAUAUUUUUUUCUUUAAAUGAUUAAUAAAAUUAUUUAGAAUUAAAAUGUGAUAUUAUUUAUCUUCCAUUAUUUUUAAACGAAUUAAAGUUUUUAAAAUGAAUAUUCUCAUGCUUUUCAAUAUAAAUAUCGAAUUAGAUGAAUGUCAAUUUUUUUUAAAUUGAUUAGAUAAUAUUAACAUAUAUAAUUUAUUUCGGUAAAAAAUAGAAACAAAUAAAAAUUAUAGACCAAUUAUAAUUUAGAAAGUACAGCUUCAAAAAUGAAGCAAUGAACACUAUUGAAAUAAGAUUUGCUUCAAAAUAAAGCAAAAAGUGGAAAAUGAAACACCAUCGGAUAUCGACUUACAAACUCAGUAACAUACGAGACUAGUUCUGAGACAGGCCAGAGAAAGAGAAUUUAGACAGACAUGCUACAUUACCUAGCAAAAGACAGGCGCUAACAAGAAUUGAUCGCUAAUCAUAAACAGAUACAUACAAAUAUAUGAAGUUUCCUAAAGAUUAAAUAUUUGUAAAAUACGGUUACACGCGAACUAAUAACCGUGACGCAUGAGCUUUUCAUAUAUAUCUUGUUUAUUGAUGAGACGUCAAAAGAAUACCCCCGGUACGGUUUGUGGUGGUUUGGUGAUGUACUUCACAUUUCAGCUGCCAAACCGAGCCAAGAGGUGGUGUUGUCUCCGGUUUGAGGCUUUGAAGACGCUUUGCCUGGAUCGUUUAAUUGAUAUGGUGCCUUUGACGUAACCCUGUCCUUUCUCUUAGCCAAGAACCGAUGGAGUGAAGCUCUUCUAGCAAUAGGAAGUUCUGUAAAAGAAAG
Molecule: long non-coding RNA, 6830 nt
Filed under: Brassica napus (rape)
Lineage: Eukaryota; Viridiplantae; Streptophyta; Magnoliopsida; Brassicales; Brassicaceae
Description: long non-coding RNA (BNAP_LNC022174)
Source: RNAcentral